RNAcentral lists this unclassified non-coding RNA (833 nucleotides) under Hevea brasiliensis (rubber tree). Lineage: Eukaryota; Viridiplantae; Streptophyta; Magnoliopsida; Malpighiales; Euphorbiaceae. The record is from RNAcentral.
UUUGGGUCCUUUCAAUCCUGUCAAAAUCUCCUCCUCCAUGAAGUCAUGUUCUGGUCAUAGUUGCAUGGCAUGGCUAGACCAACAAGAGCCAAGAUCUGUAAUCUACGUCUCAUUCGGGACAACAACAGCAAUGAAAGACGAACAAAUAAAAGAAAUAGCACUUGGGUUAGCAAGAAGUGACCAAAAGUUCAUCUGGGUCCUUCGAGACGCCGACAAGGGUGACGUUUUCGACGUCGGGAAGGUUCGAAAAUCAAAGCUCCCAGAAGGCUACAAACACUUAAUUGGCGAUAGAGGGUUGGUAAUAAGAGACUGGGCGCCGCAGGUGGAGAUACUGAGCCAUUGGGCGACGGGGGGGUUCAUGACGCAUUGCGGAUGGAACUCAUGCAUGGAGAGUAUCACGACGGGAGUCCCAGUGGCUGCUUGGCCAAUGCACUCUGACCAGCCGAGGAACAUGGUGCUUAUGGCUAUGGUAUUGCGUGUGGGGGUGGUGCUACAGGUGUGGCGGCAGGAGGUGGUGACGGCAGAUGCAGUGGAGGAGGUGGUUAGGAAGUUGAUGGUGUCGGAAGAAGGGGCAGAAGUAAGGAGGAAUGCAGAGAAGUUAGGGAAUGUCGUGCGGCAGUCGGUGGAAGAUGGCGGUGAGUCUCGUCGGGAAUUGGAGGCUUUUAUUGCUCAUAUUACCAGGUAGAUUCAGUUCUAAUCGGAUGUGUUUUAAAAGAAACAGAAAUUAGUGACAUGAUUGAAGUUUUUGUUCCUGCGAACUUUCCUUAGACUGGUUCGAAUUUCAUUUGGUAGAGAUUUCGUUUGAAAUUUAUAAUUAUGUCAUUUUCAUAAGG